Triticum aestivum (bread wheat) is the source of this 990-nucleotide long non-coding RNA. RefSeq lists it as uncharacterized. The transcript has 3 exons. The record is from RefSeq and is a predicted model, not a curated record. NCBI's taxonomy places the organism in Eukaryota, Viridiplantae, Streptophyta, Magnoliopsida, Poales, Poaceae.
UUUCAAGUUGGGCCCGGGGUCUAGCCCAGCAAGCACUGUACGCAACCACGGAAGAGGUGGUCUCGUCCUCCGUCCUCCCAGUUUCCUUCGACCCGCGAGGAGCGGCCUCGACCUAACUCGUGCAACGAGCGGCUGCGAACUGGCUCUACUGCUUCCCGGCCAGCCGUCCCUCCCCUCGCACCGGUGCAGUGGUGCUCCCCUCCCGGCUCCCUGCUCCCCGCUCCCCAACGCGUGCCGUGGAGGCCGCCUCUCCUGCGCCGCCGGGGCGUCGCCCCGCCCUUCUGGACAGAUUGCUCCGGGCGACUAUUGUGUUGACCAGUUUGAUUAUAUGAUGGAGCUGUUUGCUUGACCUUGUGCACGGUACCAAAAAGCUGCAGCAGCAGAAUUUUUCGUCCGAGGAAAUCAAUACACUUGAGAAGAACUUCUGACAUAUUUCUUUCAGGAGGAGUCGAGCUGCAGCUCUCCAAGCGAGCUACGAAGGGCAUCCAACUGAUCGAUACCUUUUAUUCAAGAGAAAAGGCAACAGAUUGAUACAUCGACAAGGAAAAAAGAGAGAACCAAGGAGAUCGAGGAAAGCAGAUAAUGGCCGACCUCGAGAACGCUAUCGACGAGGGCCUCCUUGCGACGGCGGAGCCUGACGAGGAGUCUAUCCGCCGUUUCCAGCGCAAAGUCUUAGGCUUGGUGGGCCUCGUGAGUAGCGCCAUGUUCGCGGUCGAGUGGGUGGUGUGUCUCUAUUUCGCCUUAACAAGGAAUCCGACCCUUCCCGUUCUGGGGCGUCGCUUACGUCCUCGGGAUUUCAGCCUUGACCGUUGGAGGCUCAUUUUACUCCGUCAGACAUUUUUUUUGGAAAAUUGUUUGUGAAAUUUGUAGCCGUGAGAAUGUAGACAUUAGACUCGUAUAAAUAGGUUGCCCUAAUUCUGUGUAUCAGCGUUCACAUGCAAUGCCAAACUGUUGGCUUUAGUUGCACUCAUAUGUGUUGAAUGUCAUAUA